UAGGGAAUCUUCGGCAAUGGACGAAAAUCUGACCGAGCAACGCCGCGUGGGUGAAGAAGGUUUUCGGAUCGUAAAACUCUGUUGUUAGAGAAGAACAAGGACGUUAGUAACUGAACGUCACCUUACGGUAUCUAACCAGAAAGCCACGGCUAACUACGUGCCAGCAGCCGCGGAAAUACGUAUGUGGAAAGCGUUGUCCGGAUUUGUUGGGCGUAAAGCGAGCGCAGGCGGUUUCUUAAGUCUGCUGUGAAAGCCCCCGGCUAAACCGGGGAGGGUCAUUGGAAACGGGGAGACGUGAGUGCAGAAGAGGAGAGUGGAAUUCCAUGUGUAGGGGUGAAAUGCGUAGAUAUAUGGAGGAACACCAGUGGCGAAGGCGGCUACCUGGUCUGUACCUGACGCUGAGGCUCGAAAGUGUGGGGAGCAAACAGG
Molecule: ribosomal RNA, 429 nt
Filed under: Gemmatimonadota bacterium
Lineage: Bacteria; Pseudomonadati; Gemmatimonadota
Description: Gemmatimonadetes bacterium partial 16S ribosomal RNA
Rfam family: Bacterial small subunit ribosomal RNA
Source: RNAcentral